Molecule: long non-coding RNA, 211 nt
Filed under: Monodelphis domestica (gray short-tailed opossum)
Lineage: Eukaryota; Metazoa; Chordata; Mammalia; Didelphimorphia; Didelphidae
Description: lncRNA (ENSMODG00000043943.1)
Source: RNAcentral
CAGCAGGUUGAGGGAACCUGCUAUCCUGUUCCUGGUCAGCAAAACAGGCUGAAAGCUGAGCUCUGUUUCUGCUCUUCUUGAAGCCCAGGAAUCAGUAAAUUGAGAAGAAGAGGAAUCAGAGCCUGAAGAAAGGAGAGAAAGAGCAGCAGGAGCCAGCCAAGCCCUGGAAACUCUGCCUGGUAUGCUGGGAUGUACCUGGUGAGCACUGACC